Molecule: ribosomal RNA, 511 nt
Filed under: uncultured Ceratobasidium
Lineage: Eukaryota; Fungi; Basidiomycota; Agaricomycetes; Cantharellales; Ceratobasidiaceae
Description: eukaryotic LSU rRNA
Rfam family: 5.8S ribosomal RNA (bases 88-241)
Source: RNAcentral
AGAGAGAGAAAAAGGUUUCCGUCUGCCAACCCCCCAAACUCAUAUAUUGUAAUCUGAAUGUAAAUUGAUGUAACGCAUCUAUGAACUAAGUUUCAACAACGGAUCUCUUGGCUCUCGCAUCGAUGAAGAACGCAGCGAAAUGCGAUAAGUAAUGUGAAUUGCAGAAUUCAGUGAAUCAUCGAAUCUUUGAACGCACCUUGCGCUCCUUGGUAUUCCUUGGAGCAUGCCUGUUUGAGUAUCAUGAAAUUAUCAAAACAAGUCUUUUGUUCAUUCAACUGGCUCUUUGUUUUGGACUUGGAGGUCUUGCAGAUUCACGUCUGCUCCUCUUGAAUGCAUUAGCUGGAUCUCAGUGAGCUCGGUUCCACUCGGCGUGAUAAGUAUCACUCGCUGAGGACACCCUCUAAAAAAAGGUGGCCGGGAUUGCAGAUGAACCGCUUCCAAUAGUCUGUUAGCUCAGACAGCUUUACUUUAUGAUCUGAUCUCAAAUCAGGUAGGACUACCCGCUGAACUU